This 301-nucleotide ribosomal RNA is filed under the name uncultured bacterium. RNAcentral's name for it is "partial 16S ribosomal RNA". It matches the Rfam family "Bacterial small subunit ribosomal RNA", at positions 509 to 807 of the family's 1533-position model. The record is from RNAcentral.
CAGUAGCCGCGGUAAUACGGAGGAUCCAAGCGUUAUCCGGAUUUAUUGGGUUUAAAGGGUGCGUAGGUGGCCUGUUAAGUCAGGGGUGAAAGACGGUAGCUCAACUAUCGCAGUGCCCUUGAUACUGAUGGGCUUGAAUGAACUAGAGGUAGGCGGAAUGUGACAAGUAGCGGUGAAAUGCAUAGAUAUGUCACAGAACACCAAUUGCGAAGGCAGCUUACUAUGGUUUGAUUGACACUGAGGCACGAAAGCGUGGGGAUCGAACAGGAUUAGAUACCCCUGUAGUCCCUGUCUCUUAUAC